Non-coding RNA from Leptonychotes weddellii (Weddell seal), 649 nucleotides. The record is from RefSeq and is a predicted model, not a curated record. NCBI's taxonomy places the organism in Eukaryota, Metazoa, Chordata, Mammalia, Carnivora, Phocidae.
GUUAGUAAUCAUCAAAACUCAAGACAAGGCCUCUGACUUAGGGCCAUAGCUGAAAGAGCUGCUUUGGGAGAGAAUGAUGACUUUCUCCAGAGAGGAAAUGUGACGCUCCAGUCUCCGAUGAAAAGGAACCUUGUGAUAUGUGUGUCAACACAAGCCUCAGAAAUCACCAGCAUUCAGUUAACACCUUGCUUUUGUUACUCAAUGUUUUUCAUUCUAUUCAAAAUACCACAAAAUUAAGAUAAUAGAUUCACAAAAUGGAUUCAGAGAUAUUAAUGACUUCUUAGCUUGUUUCCAGACUUAUUACAAUUCAUUACUUUCUCCUGAUGUGGUUAAUGUUGUCAUACUUUGGAGCUGUGCCAUUAUCAAUUUUUAUAAAGCUCUACUUACAUGAUUAUAUCACUUUGAUUUUUAAAAUGUCUUCAUUUAGUUCCUGGAAGUUAGUGAGCUGACAUAAAAAAAAAAAAAAAAAAAGCCAUUCUCUAAUGGGAGUGAAUUUUCAUAAGCCAUUUCCAUCAAAGCCCAUCCUCAGAUGCUGCAUUUGGCCCCAUGUCAGGCACUAGAUUUCUUUGUUGGCGUUGUCUUUCUUACUCUGAGUGUUUACAGGUAAUCCCUGUGCCCGUUAACGGUCUAAUAAAUUAUAUUAAGUGUA